GAUGAACGCUGGCGGCGUGCCUAAUACAUGCAAGUCGAGCGAACGGACGAGAAGCUUGCUUCUCUGAUGUUAGCGGCGGACGGGUGAGUAACACGUGGAUAACCUACCUAUACGACUGGGAUAACUUCGGGAAACCGGAGCUAAUACCGGAUAAUAUUUUGAACCGCAUGGUUCACAAGUGAAAGACGGUCUUGCUGUCACUUAUAGAUGGAUCCGCGCUGCAUUAGCUAGUUGGUAAGGUAACGGCUUACCAAGGCAACGAUGCAUAGCCGACCUGAGAGGGUGGUCGGCCACACUGGAACUGAGACACGGUCCAGACUCCUACGGGAGGCAGCAGUAGGGAAUCUUCCGCAAUGGGCGAAAGCCUGACGGAGCAACGCCGCGUGAGUGAUGAAGGUCUUCGGAUCGUAAAGCUCUGUUAUUAGGAAAGAACAUAUGUGUAAGUAACUGUGCACAUCUUGACGGUACCUAGACAGAAAGCCACGGCUAACUACGUG
This 497-nucleotide ribosomal RNA is filed under the name uncultured bacterium. RNAcentral describes it as "partial 16S ribosomal RNA". It matches the Rfam family "Bacterial small subunit ribosomal RNA", at positions 28 to 507 of the family's 1533-position model. The record is from RNAcentral.